Molecule: ribosomal RNA, 253 nt
Filed under: uncultured bacterium
Lineage: Bacteria
Description: partial 16S ribosomal RNA
Rfam family: Bacterial small subunit ribosomal RNA
Source: RNAcentral
UACGUAGGGCGCAAGCGUUGUCCGGAAUUAUUGGGCGUAAAGAGCUCGUAGGCGGCUUGUCACGUCGGGUGUGAAAGCUCGGGGCUUAACCCCGGGUCUGCAUUCGAUACGGGCUGGCUGGAGUGUGGUAGGGGAGAUCGGAAUUCCUGGUGUAGCGGUGAAAUGCGCAGAUAUCAGGAGGAACACCGGCGGCGAAGGCGGCACUCUGGGCCGGUACUGACGCUGAGGAGCGAAAGCGUGGGUAGCAAACAGG